AGUGAACGCUGGCGGUAGGCCUAACACAUGCAAGUCGAACGGCAGCACAGUAAGAGCUUGCUCUUACGGGUGACGAGUGGCGGACGGGUGGGGAAUACAUCGGAAUCUACUUUUUCGUGGGGGAGAACGUAGGGAAACUUACGCUAAUACCGCAUACGACCUACGGGUGAAAGCAGGGGAUCUUCGGACCUUGCGCGAUUGAAUGAGCCGAUGUCGGAUUAGCUAGUUGGCGGGGUAAAGGCCCACCAAGGCGACGAUCCGUAGCUGGUCUGAGAGGAUGAUCAGGCACACUGGAACUGAGACACGGUCCAGAAUCCUAAGGGAGGCAGCAGUGGGGAAGAUUGGAGAAUGGGCGCAAGCCUGAUCCAGCCAUGCCGCGUGGGUGAAGAAGGCCUUCGGGUUGUAAAGCCCUUUUGGUUGGAAAGCAAAGCAGCAGGUUAAUACCCCGCUGUUCUGACGGUACCCAAAGAAUAAGCACCGGCUACCUUCGU
This 491-nucleotide ribosomal RNA is filed under the name uncultured bacterium. RNAcentral's name for it is "partial 16S ribosomal RNA". It matches the Rfam family "Bacterial small subunit ribosomal RNA", at positions 29 to 506 of the family's 1533-position model. The record is from RNAcentral.